GAUGAACGCUGGCUACAGGCUUAACACAUGCAAGUCGAGGGGAAACGACGGGGAAGCUUGCUUCCCCGGGCGUCGACCGGCGCACGGGUGAGUAACGCGUAUCCAACCUGCCUCUGACUGAGGGAUAACCCGUCGAAAGUCGGCCUAAUACCUCAUGGCAUCGUCUGCGGGCAUCCAACGACGAUUAAAGAUUUCAUCGGUCAGGGAUGGGGAUGCGUCUGAUUAGCUUGUUGGCGGGGUAACGGCCCACCAAGGCUACGAUCAGUAGGGGUUCUGAGAGGAAGGUCCCCCACAUUGGAACUGAGACACGGUCCAAACUCCUACGGGAGGCAGCAGUGAGGAAUAUUGGUCAAUGGGCGGGAGCCUGAACCAGCCAAGUAGCGUGCAGGAUGACGGCCCUAUGGGUCGUAAACUGCUUUUAUGCGGGGAUAAAGUGAGGGACGUGUCCUUCAUUGCAGGUACCGCAUGAAUAAGGACCGGCUAAUUCCGUG
RNAcentral lists this ribosomal RNA (491 nucleotides) under uncultured bacterium. Its description in RNAcentral is "partial 16S ribosomal RNA". It matches the Rfam family "Bacterial small subunit ribosomal RNA", at positions 28 to 507 of the family's 1533-position model. The record is from RNAcentral.